AUUGAACGCUGGCGGCAGGCCUAACACAUGCAAGUCGAGCGGAUGAAGGGAGCUUGCUCCUGGAUUCAGCGGCGGACGGGUGAGUAAUGCCUAGGAAUCUGCCUGGUAGUGGGGGAUAACGUCCGGAAACGGGCGCUAAUACCGCAUACGUCCUGAGGGAGAAAGAGGGGGAGCUUCGGACCUCACGCUAUCAGAUGAGCCUAGGUCGGAUUAGCUAGUUGGUGGGGUAAGGGCCUACCAAGGCGACGAUCCGUAACUGGUCUGAGAGGAUGAUCAGUCACUCUGGAACUGAGACACGGCCCAGACUCCUACGGGAGGCAGCAGUGGGGAAUAUUGGCCAAUGUGCGAAAGCCUGAUCCAGCCAUGCCGCGUGUGUGAAGAAGGUCUUCGGAUUGUAAAGCACUUUAAGUUGGGAGGAAGGGCAGUAAGUUAAUACCUUGCUGUUUUGACGUUACCAACAGAAUAAGCACCGGCUAACUUCGU
Molecule: ribosomal RNA, 483 nt
Filed under: uncultured bacterium
Lineage: Bacteria
Description: partial 16S ribosomal RNA
Rfam family: Bacterial small subunit ribosomal RNA
Source: RNAcentral